This is a long non-coding RNA of Crotalus tigris (Tiger rattlesnake), 535 nucleotides long. RefSeq lists it as uncharacterized. NCBI's taxonomy places the organism in Eukaryota, Metazoa, Chordata, Lepidosauria, Squamata, Viperidae. The record is from RefSeq and is a predicted model, not a curated record. The transcript has 3 exons.
AGGAUACACUCCUUACCCAAGGUAUACUGAAGCUGAGCCAAGUCAUGGAAGGCUUUAUAAAUGAAAAUCAACAUUUUGAACUGUCUUGCUGGAAUUUAAUUUGAGACACCAGAUGAAGGGACAACUCUGGAGACAUGGAGCAAGAAGUUGCUGUGCCUGAGCUGGGAUGUAGCAUGUCCCCAACAACUCUGAUAAACUACUGCUCUGAUCCCAAGAACCUAAAGAAGAUCCAGAAACAAACGGCCUCCUCCUUACUAUCUCUGGUCAGCUGUUGCUCAAACAGGUCCAAGCUGGGGAUCAGUUGAGAUUUGAGAGGUAUAAGGAGAGAAUCCUAUUUGAAAUAACAAGGCUCUCCUACUGCCCAAAGCAGAACGGGCCUAGAAGAAAGGAACCAGGAAUCAGAGGAGACAACAGACAUCCUCAGACAGCAUCACUGAGCAAAAAUAAUGUUUUUAUUGUGUUAGCCACCAUAAUCACUUAUGUGAAAUGGUCAUGUAACUCCGGUGAAUAAAACUAAGAGUGUAUACAUUGCAAA